GUUGUCCGCAAAGGCUGCAGCGACUAUCCCAGUGUCCUGCGUUUUGACUCUUCCACAAGGAUAUGCAGGAGUUUUCAGAAAAGAUUUCUUAAGAAUUCUUCAAAGACAUCGUUUAAGCAGUGAAGCACAAACAGAAGAAUCUUCUAUAGUUCUAUCUAGAUUACUCUUCUCUGGGCUGAAUUUUUUCAGUAUGAGUUUGCUUAUCACACACAUUGGAGUUGGAGAAUUUGGCUAUUUCCCCAAAAGAUUAGAGCCCAGAACCUCUGAGACAGGUCCAAUCUUGGAGAGGUAAACGAACUCCAAAUCAACACUUUAUAAAUGGUUUGUCUAGCAGCAUGAUGUUUCCAAUUGAAAAUGAAGAUUUUUCUACCUAAUCAACACACACUUCGAAAAGAAGUAAAGGAAGCCAUCAAUCUAGCAAUUUCUCUCAUUAAAUGGAUA
This is a long non-coding RNA of Tupaia belangeri chinensis (Chinese tree shrew), 441 nucleotides long. RefSeq lists it as uncharacterized. Lineage: Eukaryota; Metazoa; Chordata; Mammalia; Scandentia; Tupaiidae. The record is from RefSeq and is a predicted model, not a curated record. The transcript has 3 exons.